This is a long non-coding RNA of Mercurialis annua (annual mercury), 969 nucleotides long. RefSeq lists it as uncharacterized. The transcript has 2 exons. The record is from RefSeq and is a predicted model, not a curated record. Lineage: Eukaryota; Viridiplantae; Streptophyta; Magnoliopsida; Malpighiales; Euphorbiaceae.
AGAAAAAACUGCAAAACCCUAGUUUAAUGCCAAUUUCUGUCUGCUGCAAUUGAAGAAGAUCAGCAAAUCAGUGUUCACAUCUUGCUUUCUGCUUUGUGUAAUGCUACCACCAGUUUUCUUCCCUCCGUUGGAGCUGAAAUGAAGAUUAAUUUGAUAAGCGGCGUAAAUUGACAGGUAACUCCACCACUCACUUUGUCAAUUUCUUAUUUGAGUUGAGAAGCACGUUAUAUCAUGAAUAAUUCCUCUGGUUGGAUUAGCUGUUAGUCGCUGCUUAUAUAGUUUAUUUUGGAGCUGUUAGUCGGUGUUGUUGUUAGAGCUGUUGAUAAAACUUGUUUUUGGAGCUUUUUAUUUUUAAUUGUCUGAUCACUUCUUAGCUAUAACAACAAAUCCGAACAGGGCAAGUUGCAUUUGUAACUAGCUGCUAACAAUUUAUGCUUAGUUGGAACUUUGGCUAAAAUUAUUGGGGGAAAAGUUACAGACUCAAAGCUACGAGACUGUUACUGAAUAUGCAUAAGUGAUGCACGACACUGAGAGUUCGACUUUGUCCCAAGUAGAAAAUCCGAGUAGGGAAGCCCCCAGGGACUUUAAGAGGGAAGUAUAGUAUCAUAUACCCUUUGAGAAUGGGUACUCGAACUAUAAAGCUUGUCCGCCCUAAACGAUCGGCAAAUAAGAGAAGGAGAAAGGACGACGAGAAACUUUCAUCCUAUGAGUGCUAUGUAUGAGAUGAUUAUGAAUUCAGAUGAAAGUUUGCAUUUCAUCUUUGAUAGGCGAGAAACGAAGCACUUAAUAAUUUUUUUAAUUAUUAAUUAUGUGUUCUUUCUCAAAUUUGUAGCUAAAAACUUUAAGAAUUGACUUAAUUGCUGUUGAGAGCCAAGAAAUUUUGGUUUGUAGUUUAAAAAAAUGUACCAUUCCAUGUCAAAAAAUAUUGUUUUGUUUUGUUAAUUCUAAAAGCUUUUAUUUAAUGCUAAA